UAGGGAAUCUUCCGCAAUGGACGAAAGUCUGACGGAGCAACGCCGCGUGAGUGAUGAAGGCUUUCGGGUCGUAAAACUCUGUUGUUAGGGAAGAACAAGUGCUAGUUGAAUAAGCUGGCACCUUGACGGUACCUAACCAGAAAGCCACGGCUAACUACGUGCCAGCAGCCGCGGUAAUACGUAGGUGGCAAGCGUUAUCCGGAAUUAUUGGGCGUAAAGCGCGCGCAGGUGGUUUCUUAAGUCUGAUGUGAAAGCCCACGGCUCAACCGUGGAGGGUCAUUGGAAACUGGGAGACUUGAGUGCAGAAGAGGAAAGUGGAAUUCCAUGUGUAGCGGUGAAAUGCGUAGAGAUAUGGAGGAACACCAGUGGCGAAGGCGACUUUCUGGUCUGUAACUGACACUGAGGCGCGAAAGCGUGGGGAGCAAACAGGAUUAGAUACCCUGGUAGUCCACGCCGUAAACGAUGAGUGCUAAGUGUUAGAGGGUUUCCGCCCUUUAGUG
This 500-nucleotide ribosomal RNA is filed under the name uncultured Bacillota bacterium. RNAcentral's name for it is "bacterial SSU rRNA". It matches the Rfam family "Bacterial small subunit ribosomal RNA", at positions 355 to 845 of the family's 1533-position model. The record is from RNAcentral. Lineage: Bacteria; Bacillati; Bacillota.